GGGUUGUGAGGUUAAGCGACUAAGCGUACACGGUGGAUGCCCUGGCAGUCAGAGGCGAUGAAGGGCGUGCUAAUCUGCGAUAAGCGCCGGUAAGGUGAUAUGAACCGUUAUAACCGGCGAUACCCGAAUGGGGAAACCCAGUGUGAUUCGUCACACUAUCAUUAACUGAAUCCAUAGGUUAAUGAGGCGAACCGGGGGAACUGAAACAUCUAAGUACCCCGAGGAAAAGAAAUCAACCGAGAUUCCCCCAGUAGCGGCGAGCGAACGGGGAGGAGCCCAGAGCCUGAAUCAGCAUGUGUGUUAGUGGAAGCGUCUGGAAAGGCGCGCGAUACAGGGUGACAGCCCCGUACACAAAAGCGCAUGUGCUGUGAGCUCGAUGAGUAGGGCGGGACACGUGGUAUCCUGUCUGAAUAUGGGGGGACCAUCCUCCAAGGCUAAAUACUCCUGACUGACCGAUAGUGAACCAGUACCGUGAGGGAAAGGCGAAAAGAACCCCGGCGAGGGGAGUGAAACAGAACCUGAAACCGUGUACGUACAAGCAGUGGGAGCCCCACCACUAAGCCAGUGGUGAACUCCACAUACGCAUCCUUUGCUGAUGGCAAUGGUUAACGGAGCGAAAGCGACGUUCAACCGCAAAACAAGCAGAGGGGGCUUAGUGGUGGGGUGACUGCGUACCUUUUGUAUAAUGGGUCAGCGACUUAUAUUCUGUAGCAAGGUUAACCGAAUAGGGGAGCCGGAGGGAAACCGAGUCUUAAUUGGGCGUUAAGUUGCAGGGUAUAGACCCGAAACCCGGUGAUCUAGCCAUGGGCAGGUUGAAGGUUGGGUAACACUAACUGGAGGACCGAACCGACUAAUGUUGAAAAAUUAGCGGAUGACCUGUGGCUGGGGGUGAAAGGCCA
RNAcentral lists this ribosomal RNA (899 nucleotides) under Salmonella enterica subsp. enterica serovar Indiana. RNAcentral describes it as "partial 23S ribosomal RNA". It matches the Rfam family "Bacterial large subunit ribosomal RNA", at positions 1 to 831 of the family's 2925-position model. The record is from RNAcentral. Lineage: Bacteria; Pseudomonadati; Pseudomonadota; Gammaproteobacteria; Enterobacterales; Enterobacteriaceae.